UUGACCUCGGAUCAGGUAGGGAUACCCGCUGAACUUAAGCAUAUCAUAGCCGGGAGGGAAAA
RNAcentral lists this ribosomal RNA (62 nucleotides) under Alternaria gansuensis. Its description in RNAcentral is "partial 28S ribosomal RNA". The record is from RNAcentral. Lineage: Eukaryota; Fungi; Ascomycota; Dothideomycetes; Pleosporales; Pleosporaceae.